RNA transcript from Daphnia magna, 635 nucleotides. RefSeq lists it as uncharacterized. The record is from RefSeq and is a predicted model, not a curated record. The transcript is spliced from 3 exons. Lineage: Eukaryota; Metazoa; Arthropoda; Branchiopoda; Diplostraca; Daphniidae.
GGGAAAGCCCCGGUGUUGGAGAACUUUCCAGUUGAAGAAGUACAAAGGACGAGUUGCGACACAAACACCUUUCCUUUCUCUGAUUGUUUCAGCACAACCAAAUACGUCGCUUAUUGGAACAUAUGGUAAAAGGCAACACAAAAGAAGUACAACAAUGAAGUGGCUCGACGGUAUUUAAAGGCUGGUGAUUAGCACGAUGGGCAUCAGUUAGCCAACUGUCUCAAACAUCGUAUACCAACUUCUCAACAUGCAGUUCUUCGUACUGGCCGCCUUGAUCACUGUCGCCGCAGCCAAUUCCGCUUACCCAGAAGGCUCAACGUAUCCAAUUUCAUUUUACAAUAGGCCUUCUUACUCGGCUUCAACUCACGAGACCGGGGAAUUCAAUCCAUCCAGAUCGUACGAGUACUUUAAGAAAAGCUAUUUGUUAAAUAUCUUUUAACAACAUUGACAACUUCUUGACAACCUCUGGCGGGACUUGAACCCGCAGUUCCCGGCUUAGGAGGCCGGUGCCAUAUCCAUUAGGCCACAGAGGCAUAUUUACUACAAAAUGGCGUGAAAAACAUUUCUUUUAACUUGCAAAAUUUCGAUUCUGAAUUGAAAAUGCGGUUUUCAAUACACACUUUUUGGCAAUAAAA